AUUGAACGCUGGCGGCAUGCCUUACACAUGCAAGUCGAACGGCAGCACGGACUUCGGUCUGGUGGCGAGUGGCGAACGGGUGAGUAAUGUAUCGGAACGUACCUUUCAGUGGGGGAUAACGUAGCGAAAGUUACGCUAAUACCGCAUAUUCUGUGAGCAGGAAAGCAGGGGAUUGCAAGACCUUGCGCUGAUUGAGCGGCCGAUAUCAGAUUAGCUAGUUGGUGGGGUAAAGGCCUACCAAGGCUACGAUCUGUAGCGGGUCUGAGAGGAUGAUCCGCCACACUGGAACUGAGACACGGUCCAGACUCCUACGGGAGGCAGCAGUGGGGAAUAUUGGACAAUGGGCGCAAGCCUGAUCCAGCCAUGCCGCGUGUGUGAAGAAGGCCUUCGGUUGUAAAGCACUUUUGUUGGGAAGAAACCGGUCGGAUUAAUACUUCGGCUGAAUGACGGUACCCAAAGAAUAAGCACCGGCUAACUUCGUGCC
Molecule: ribosomal RNA, 484 nt
Filed under: uncultured bacterium
Lineage: Bacteria
Description: bacterial SSU rRNA
Rfam family: Bacterial small subunit ribosomal RNA
Source: RNAcentral